RNA transcript from Harmonia axyridis, 7141 nucleotides. It is a transcript of the gene named DNA polymerase alpha catalytic subunit, with no coding region annotated. The record is from RefSeq and is a predicted model, not a curated record. The transcript is spliced from 10 exons. NCBI's taxonomy places the organism in Eukaryota, Metazoa, Arthropoda, Insecta, Coleoptera, Coccinellidae.
AUUUGUAUUUAAAUAUUAAUGACAUUUUUUUAAACUGAGAAUAUUGGGGUAGUUCAAAGAGCAGACAUUCGAUAAAAUUCAAACAAAUACAUUCCCUCCAAAAAUAUUAAAAACAUCAAACGAUUAUUCAACAGGAUCCAGGAUCUCAUAUCAACCAUCCCGUUUCUCUCAUUAUUGUUAUAUCAAUAGAAAGAAUAAAUAUUCUAAUAAAAAUGGAUGACACAGAUGAAAGGAAACCCAAGAGGCAGAAGAGGGAUACUUCCUAUAAAGCUAAAGCUUUUGAAAAAUUCAAACAGAUUAAAAGUGGAGCUAAGAAUAAAUAUGAAAUUGAGGAAGUUGAUAAUGUUUAUGAAACUGUUGAUGAAAAAGAAUACCUCAAAACGGUAUUGGAUAGACAAGCGGAUGAUUGGGUAGUAGAUGAUGAUGGUUCAGGAUAUUACGAUGAUGGCCGUGAAAUAUUUGAUGAUGAUUUGGAUUCUGAAUCCAUUGCAAAUGCUUCUUCCAAAAAGGGAGUCAAAAGAAAAAAAAAAGCUGUAUCUGACAAUAUUCCAAAAGGAGAUUUGAAACGUAUGCUUUCUAAAAUGCCAACAAAAAAAAAAGAGGAAGAGAAGGUCUCAGAGGAUGUCAUGCUUUCUGAACUACUUGGUGAAAUUGAUGAAAAUCGGGAUAAUUCUAAACCAUCAACAGUAGAUGAUUCUCUUAAAUCUGUGUUCAGUAAUAGAAAGGCUGAAAAGGACUACUUGAAAACAUUUACUCCACCACCUAGGAAAAUAUUAUUAAAAAAAAAAACUCUUGAGAGAAAAUCUCUACAUAUAAUUCCCAAGCCUAUUAUAAAAAAAAUUUCAGAAGAAAUAGAGGAUGAAGCUGCAGUUGUUCAAAAUAAAGAACUAUCAAAUGAUAAAGAUUUUGAUGAAGAAAAUAUUGAUAAAAAUAGUGAAAUGAUUGAGGAAGAUAGUCAAAAAACCAGUUUAACAAACGAAGAUACCACUAUUGAAGUUGAUGAAACUGAGAAUUUCUUCAAUGAUGGUUUAGACUUCUCACAAAUUGAAGAAUUUGAGUCUCAACAAAAUGAUACUAUUGAUGUAGAAACAGUUGAAGAUAACAUACUUGCGGAAUUCUUGGACCAACAAGAAAAUUUUAAAUCAGUGGAAAUUGAUUCUACUUUUAAUAAAAGCAUAAACAUUGAUUCAGCAGAUUUACCUCUGGUAGAAAGAGAUAAUAAAGAAGUUUUUAGGUUUUUUUAUUGGGAUGCAUAUGAAAAUACUUUUGUUCAACCUGGGGUAGUUUUUCUUUUUGGUAAAACAUAUUGCGAAAAGACAAAAUCAUAUGCCAGUUGUUCUGUAGUGAUCAAAAAUGUGCAAAGAAAGUUGUUUGUUCUUCCAAGAUCCUAUGUCUUAGAUGAUGCUGGAAAUCCAACAGAUCAGCCUGUCACCCAAAAAGAUGUUUAUGAGGAGUUCAACAACAAAGUCAUGAAAGAUUUACAUAUAACUUGUUUUAAAUGUCGUUUUGUGACUAAAAAAAACUGCUUUGCUCCAAAUAUUCCAGUAGAGUCUGAUUAUAUGGAAGUUCGAUAUUCUGCCAAAGAUCCUCAAAUAUCUGUCUUUGAAGGAAAAACAUUCUCUCAUGUUUUUGGUGUGAACAGCAGCUAUUUGGAGAUAUUUCUUCUUGAAAGAAAACUCAAAGGCCCUUGUUGGUUAGAUAUACAAAAUCCUAUACCUGUUAAAAAUCCCAUUACUUGGUGUAAAUUUGAAAUAGAUGUGGAAAAAUCAAAUGAUGUUGUACUUGCAAAAUUGGAAAAGCCUCUACCUCCGCCCCCACUUGUUGUUGCUGUAGUCCACAUGAGAUUUGCUCCAAACCCAAAAAACUUGACAAAUGAGAUAGUGAUGAUUUCUUGCCUUGUACAAAACUCGUAUGCUUUGGAUAAGGCAGCUCCAGCUCUUCCCUUUCAAAGCGAUUUUUGUGUGUUUACAACCCCCCAGCAUGCUAUGAUGCCAUCUGAUAUUUAUAAGACACUGAGUAACUUCAAGAGGACUAAAGUUCAAAAAAUGGAUUCAGAAAAAGCAUUGUUGAAUUUCUUCAUUAAUCAAUAUCAAAGUGUUGAUCCAGAUCUCAUAGUAGGUCAUGACCUACAAGGCUAUCAAUUUAGUGUUCUUGCUGAUCGAUUAUACUCAAAUGGCAUAAAAAAUUUCAGCAAACUAGGAAGAUUGAAGAGAAGUAGUCUUCAUCAAAAAAUUGAGAGGGUAUUGUUCACAGGGAGACUUGUUUGUGAUGUAAAAAUAUCAGCUAAAGAAUUAAUAAAAUCUCGUGCAUAUGACUUGAACACUCUGUGCCAGACUGUGUUGAAUUUCAGAGAAAAUCAAAGAUUAGACUUGGAGCCUGAGGAUGUGCCAAAAAUGUUCAAUAAUAGUCAGAAUAUAUUAAAAUUAAUUGUGUUAACAAUGAGUGACGCUAUGUAUAUAUUGAGAAUGAUGUAUAAUUUGAAUACAAUUCCCCUGGCCCUACAAAUUACAAAUAUUGCUGGUAAUAUUAUGUCGAGAACAUUAUGUGGGGGAAGAUCAGAAAGAAAUGAGUUCUUAUUGUUACAUGCAUUUUCUGAGAAAGACUUUAUUGUUCCUGAGAAAAUUAUUAAGCCUAGGGAUGCAGAAAAAUCGUUGAAUUCUAAACGUAAACCAACUUAUGCUGGAGGAUUAGUACUGGAUCCAAAGGUUGGAUUUUAUGAUAAACUGAUUUUACUCAUGGAUUUCAAUUCCCUUUAUCCUAGUAUCAUUCAAGAAUACAAUAUUUGCUUUACAACAUUACCAGUAGAUGGUGCUGAAUUAACUCUACCAGAUAAAACAGUACCUGUAGGAAUUUUGCCUACUGAAAUAAGAAAAUUGGUUGAAAGUCGUAGAGAAGUCAAGAAGUUAAUGAAAAAUGUUGAUAAGAAGAGUGAUUUAUAUUCACAAUACAAUAUUCGUCAGAUGGCCUUGAAAUUAACAGCUAAUAGUAUGUAUGGUUGUUUAGGAUUUUCCAAUUCCAGAUUCUAUGCUAAAAACUUAGCUGCACUGGUCACUCAUAAAGGUAGAGAGAUUUUAACGAAUACAAGGGAUCUUGUACAAAAAAUGUGUUUUGAAGUUGUUUAUGGUGAUACUGACAGUAUAAUGAUCAACACAAAUAUAAUUGAUAUUGAUCAAGUCAAUAAAAUUGGCAUCAAAAUAAAACAAGAAGUGAACAAACUUUACCAACAAGUUGAACUCGACAUCGAUGGUGUUUUCAAAUAUUUAUUGUUGCUAAAGAAAAAGAAAUAUGCUGCUGUUACAAUCACAAAAUCCGAUGAUGGCAAAUUGAGAGUUGAAAAAGAAUACAAAGGUCUUGAUAUUGUUAGACGUGAUUGGUCGCAAAUUGCUUGUGAAACUGGCAAAAUUAUUUUAGACCAAAUAUUAAGUGACCUUUCACCUGAUGAGAGGAUAGAGAAUAUACAAAAUUACUUAAGAAAAAUAAAGAGUGAUUUUGAAACCAACAAAAUUCCUCUCACUAUGUUAGUCAUAACAAAACAAUUAACUAAAGAUCCAAAAUCUUACAGUGAUAAAAAUUCUCUACCCCAUGUCCAAGUAGCAUUGAGAUAUAACAAACAGCUUGGUGGUCACUUUAGGUCAGGUGACACUGUGCCAUAUGUUAUUUGUAAUGAUGGGUCCAACAAUUCAGCAGUUCAAAGAGCUUAUCACCUGGAUGAGUUGAAGAGUUCUGAUAAAUUAACAAUUGAUGUCAAGUAUUAUUUAUCUCAACAAAUUCAUCCAGUUGUUUCUCGUAUAUGCGAACCCAUUGAAGGUAUUGAUGCUUUUCAAAUAGCCGAUUGUUUGGGAAUUGAUACAUCUUCCUUUAAGAAACCAAUCGUUAGAAAUGAAAAUAUCGCUGAAUUGGUAGCAAAGCCAGAAAUGAAAUUCAAGAAUGUGGACCCUUUCAUUUUUGAAUGUUACGAUUGCAAAAAAAAGAAUUCUAUAGAAGGACCCUUGAGACAAGGAAUCAUGGUCUUGGAGAAGUGUUCAAAUUGUAAUGUGUCCCCAGUUUCCUACUUACUUUACAUACAGAACCAGUUUACCCUAGCUAUCAACAAAUAUAUAAAAAAAUAUUAUAUGAAUAUCAUGAUUUGUGAGGAUCCAGCUUGUGACAAUGAAACUAACAGAGUACCAUCAAGAUUUGUAGGAAAAUAUCCUGUAUGUACUCUUUGCAAGAGCGGAAUCAUGUACAAGAAAUAUACAGAAAGUGAUUUGUAUUUUCAACUUAGUUAUUUUAGGCAUAUAUUUGACAUCAGCAAAAUUAAUAGAAGAAAAGCAAUGGAUGACAUGGUAGAAAACGGGUAUCAUGUACUGAAAGAAACUGCAGAGAAGUAUCUGAGUCAAUCUGGUUAUUCAGUUGUAAAUUUGACAGAUCUUUUCUCUGGAUUCAUGAUGAGAGAAAAUCAACAACCUGAUAGUAUAAUAAAUAAUUUUACUGAUAUUGUUGAAGAUGAUGAAGAAUUUUAAUGAAAUUUUAAUAAAUAGAAUAUUUGAAGAAAUUUAUGUGAUGAAUUUAUGAGAAGUUGAAGUUCUUUCAAUUGAGAAGUUUUAUUUAUUUUAUCAGUUUUAAUGUAUAUAUUAGUGCAGCUACUUCAAAAAAUUAUUAUUUAAAUUGUGGUACCUAAACCACAAUUUCAAUAAUAUGUGCAUUUAAGUAUUAUAAAAUGAAAAUUAUUGAAUCGUAAAUCUUAUAUUUGGAAUAUCAGCUUGUGAAUGGAAAUAAAGUUUUUAAUGAACAAGAAGCCAAAGGCUAUGAUUUUAAUACAUUUAUAGCAUCUUCGAUAUCUCAUAUAAGCUUGAAUGCCUAUAUAGCCUGGCAACACAAGAUAUGUUUGUAUUAUGGCUAAGUGCAAAUUGUGGUCAUGAACUAAUAAUUGAGAAGCAUAUGAGCGCGUGUGAGGUAACAUGGGACGAGCGGAAAUGGUGCAAGUAUUAUACGCUUAGUGUUGUAAUCAGCACAUUGGAACACAGUUUUUAUAAGUACAUAUUCACAUUGAAAUACAUCAGAAAAUAUCAGUUUCGCUAUCAAAAUCAUUGGUAUUAUUUCAAACCGUAUUUUGUAAAUACAUUUUCAUCUUUGCAUAUUCUCAUCAUUUUACCAAAUAAAUUUAAAUCUUUCAAUGAAACAUUUACCAAACAGUUCUCAAAGCGCAAGUGCAGUCAUAAAAUGUAUUACCAGAUGGGGAUAUUUGGCAAAAUUAGUUCAAUCAGGUAAUAAAAUUAGUAAUUACGCAUAUUUCUCUUGACCAAUAUAUCACAAGGAAUGUUUGGAUUUUUAGAAUGGUAACCUAAUUUCGAUGCGGUCUUACUUUAUUUUAGCCAAAAUUUUCAGGAAUAAAAAAUUUGGUUGAUACUAGUUUAGAGGCAAUGUCAGUCCAAGAUGGCUUUGAAUAAAAAUUUGCUCUGAUUUAUCUUAUAUACCUUAUUCCGAUAUGAUUCAAUAUGAUGAAUUUAGACAUAACUAAUUUUUCUGCUACCUUUGAGCCCUAUCACUAUUCCGCUGUUUUCUACAGCUUUAAUUCAUGGCAUAUUCAACUCGGAAUAUUCGCCAUACUCAACGUGCGGCCCUUUGGCCCUUUUAUGCGGCCCGAGCCACGGCAUAGUCAAAUAUCACAGUUUUCGAAAUAACGCAAAAAUAACGGUAUCAAUAUUUAUUCAUUUACCUUUGUUUUUUCCCUUAUUGGGUACACACAGAACACUAUUACCACAGUAUAAAUAAAUAAUGGAUUCUUUAUACAUACUAUGACACUACUUAUACCUAAUCUUCUUAGCAAGAAUAUCUCACGUUUUUUGCUCUUUUAGUUUUCGCUUCUAUGUAUUCUUAGGUGCGUUUUUUAGCUGAUUAUAUAGUUAAAUUGUCAUAUUAUUAUGUAAUUUUUUUUUCUGGCCAGUACCAUGAUUUUUAAAACCUCUUAUUAGCAUUAUUGCGCUAAUGAAAGGAUUAAAAAAUCAUGGUACCUACCAAAAUAAAAAAUUAGUCCAAAUUUCUUAAAAUCGUCAAUAGUAUCCCCUGUUUUCGGGAGCGUUUCCCUAACUUCCUGUAUAUUUAUAUUUUCGCACUCCCCUACUGAUAUUACAAAUGCGAAAAAACGUAAUCUGCCUGUCUGUUACGCUUUGACGCAUUAAUCACUGAAUCGAUUUUGAUUUGAAUUUGGUACACAGACAGGAACUAGUAGAGCUUAGGAAAGGACUUGGUUACUUUGUUACCGACUUAAAAAAAAGGGUUUUGAUUAUACGCGAUAAACGAAAACCGCGCGGGCUAAAGCUAGUUUUACAAGUAGGUAAAUUACUGCAGCCCGCAAGAAUGAACAGUAACAAUUAUGCGGCCCAAGGUAAAAAAGGUUGAGUAUGACUGGAUUAGACCAACAGCGGCAGAUAUUUAUUGUGAGCCAAUUUUCACACACUUGGUUCUUUGUGUCGAAAAAUCGAACCGCUCCAUCACCGAGCCCGAUAAAGUGCAAAAUUGCUAGAAGUAGUUCGUAGUCGAUCGUAUCGAAUGCCUUAGUGAAGUCCAGUAACGCCAAAGCCGUAACCUUGCCCUCAUCCGCCGCCCGCAAAAUAUCAUCAGUAACUAACAUUAGUGAGUGCCGCCGAACAUCCGUGACUCCUUCUAAAUCCCGACUGACACUCAGGAAGAGUGUCAUUGUUGCUGGUUUAUUAUUUUCUCCAACACACCUUCGAUACGCUAGAUAAUAUACUGAUAGGACGUAAAUCCCUGUACUCUCUCGGGGUUGGGACUUAUGGUAAUGGUACAAUUAGUGCUGCUUUCCAGCAUUUCGGAAAAACAGAAUGGAGUAUACAAUAAUUGAUUAUGUUCGCAAUAAAAGAUUUCAGAUAUACCUUGGGUAAUUCAAGAGAGACAAUUUACAAAACAAGGAAAUUAGAAAGCAAAUAGAUAUAUAGGAGCAUAAUAAAGGAAUAAUCAAAAGCAAUUAGUUCCAGAGACCUAAGGGAAGGACAAUUAAAUGACGUAGAAGCAUCAUAAGACGUUAUAUAGUUACAGUUCAAACAAAAUUACAUAUUCUUUAAAAAAAUUUAAUUGAAAACUUUUCCAUUAUUAGUAUAUUUUUGUAUUUUUCAUUAUGAGUACAGGCAUUGAAUUUGAA